RNAcentral lists this long non-coding RNA (1015 nucleotides) under Parus major (Great Tit). RNAcentral describes it as "lncRNA (ENSPMJG00000013837.1)". Lineage: Eukaryota; Metazoa; Chordata; Aves; Passeriformes; Paridae. The record is from RNAcentral.
CUCACUUUUCAAUGGUCAAAACUGCUGUCAAUUCUUAGAAAUGACCGAUAAUUGGUCAGGAGAAAAUACUCCCAUCAGCCUCCAGCAGCUUCAACUUCCUUAGCUCCCAAAGCUGUCUUAAAGGUAAAGUAACCCUUUGACAGUGUGAUUUCCUCCCCCUUAUCCCAACAUGCACACUAAUAUUACAUUAGGCAUUUUGUGCAUUUCCUCCUGUGCUGAUCAGAGGAGGGAGAGAGGAGCACAUGAGAUCCAGGUGGCCACAGAAGACAUACUUAUGUCCAAAAACUGGAGAAAAACCAUGAAGAGUUAAAUAAGUAUUUUUGGACACUCCUGUGGCUAUCUUUAUUUCUACCCUACUAAGAAGAAAAGUCAUGGCCAUUUGGUUUUGGAUUCAUCACAUUAUUGGAAAAGUAUCUGUUCUCUCUUAUUAACUUCAAAGGCAACACAACCAGAUUGUCACUGUAAAGAUGAGGAAGGACUGACAAGGUCUUCUGAAAUGCCUGCACUCAUCCUGGCUCUUGAAAGGUCUGGAUUGUUUACAGGCAGCUACAAAGCCAACCCAAGCCAAAACACAUCAGUGGAAAUACAUCCAUUCAUUUAAAUGAAUUUAAAGAAGAGUUUUCAUUGCAGCUUUUCCUGACUGUGAUGCCUCCCAUCAAUUAAAUGAUGAGGACAGGUUUGUGAUUGUCAACAAUGUGCCUUGUCUUGCAAUCUGGUGGAAAGAAAACCAGUAGGCUGAAUCAUAAUAUCUUCAUAUUAUUAUUCAUAUUAUCAAUCUUCUUCCUUGACAGCUACGCAUUUUAUAAUUAAUAAUGUAUAUCUUAUUUGGCAAGGUAUUUCCACUUUAGGCAUUGUGGAGAAUUAGCUUCUAAAGUACUAUUAAAGGUAUUCACGUCUGGGGCAAAUACUAGAAACAGAAUUUGCAAAAUAUGGUGGAACAUCAGAACAAAAAAUACAUUUGAACUUUGGAAAAAAUUUGGAAAAAUAAAAACACCCAAAUUUUAACUGUCUCCCA